GUGCCAGCAGCCGCGGUAAUACGGAGGGUGCAAGCGUUAUCCGGAUUCACUGGGUUUAAAGGGUGCGUAGGUGGGUUGGUAAGUCAGUGGUGAAAUCUCCGUGCUUAACAUGGAAACUGCCAUUGAUACUACUGAUCUUGAAUUUUCUGGAGGUAAGCGGAAUAUGUCAUGUAGCGGUGAAAUGCUUAGAUAUGACAUAGAACACCAAUUGCGAAGGCAGCUUACUACAGGGACAUUGACACUGAGGCACGAAAGCGUGGGGAUCAAACAGGAUUAGAUACCCUGGUAGUCC
Molecule: ribosomal RNA, 292 nt
Filed under: uncultured bacterium
Lineage: Bacteria
Description: partial 16S ribosomal RNA
Rfam family: Bacterial small subunit ribosomal RNA
Source: RNAcentral